AUGCCAGGAACUCACAAUGACAUCAACGUGCUGCAGUGCUCUCCUGUUUUUGCCAAGCUCGUUGAGGGCCAUUCUCCUCCGGUGAACUUCGAGAUCAAUGGGCACCAAUACAACAAGGGGUACUACCUAGCAGAUGGCAUCUAUCCGAGAUGGUCGACAUUUGUGAAGACGAUCUCAAACCCUGCGGCAGGAGGCAAGAACGCCUGGUUUGCGAAAGUUCAGAAGGCUUGCAGGAAGGAUGUCGAGCGGGCAUUUGGUGUGCUCCAAUCUCGAUUUGCUGUUGUUCAGUACCCCACUCAGACCUGGUCCAAAGAUCAAAUGUGGGAGAUUAUGACUUGCUGUGUCAUCUUGCACAACAUGAUCAUCGAGAGCGAGCAAGAAGACCCAGUGUUUGACACUGAACCAUACUACAGGCAGGGUCCUUUAGCCUAA
Molecule: ribosomal RNA, 432 nt
Filed under: Triticum aestivum (bread wheat)
Lineage: Eukaryota; Viridiplantae; Streptophyta; Magnoliopsida; Poales; Poaceae
Description: partial small subunit ribosomal RNA
Source: RNAcentral